Non-coding RNA from Danio rerio (zebrafish), 71 nucleotides. NCBI's taxonomy places the organism in Eukaryota, Metazoa, Chordata, Actinopteri, Cypriniformes, Danionidae. The record is from Rfam.
GCAUUGGUGUUUUAGUGGUAGAAUUCUCGCCUUCCACGCGGGAGAGCCGGGUCCGAUUCCCGGCCAACGCA